Long non-coding RNA from Gallus gallus (chicken), 10518 nucleotides. The record is from Ensembl. NCBI's taxonomy places the organism in Eukaryota, Metazoa, Chordata, Aves, Galliformes, Phasianidae.
CAGUGUAUGUUGCAUUGGUUCACAGCAGUUUGCAGCUUGCAGGUAGUAACGUAGACCACAUCAUUCCCAAUUCCAAAAAGACUUGCAGCCCUGCAGGCUGGGAGGCUCUGGAACAGGGAAAAGGUGAUUCCUGUUCUCAUUAAUCUGACUUAGGAAACAAGUCUUCGUAUGUAUGUAAAUAUGAUCUAAUCUUAAAUGAGACGUUCAUGUGGAAUGUUUGAAGACUGGUAGUGGAAUGUUGACAACAUUCUAAAAACGAAGGGUUUUUCUUGAGGCUUUUACUUCUGGUUUUCAAAAUAACAUGUAGCUUUAUUACCUGUUAUUUAACACGUACACUUAGUUACAUGUAAGUCUUGCAUAGGUAAUUGGAGGACAGCGACAUGCAACUGAAAGCGUUAAACCAGAUUAUUGAAACCAGUGCAGCUGAAGGUGAUACGCUUUCAAGAUGGGAGUGAUUGUCAUGCCCGCUGUUCUGUUUAACCACAAACCCACUGUUACGAUUUGGGGCUGAAUCUGAAUUGUGGGAGAUAAACACUGAUAGUGAAAUGAAGUGUUUCACUGGCCUUCCAAGUUUUUCCAUUAACCUGGCAAAAUGCAAGGCUCACCACUGGAGGGCAAUGUAAGUACAUCACUGCCAUAAGGGGACUGCAGCUGGACUGAAUAGUAAGCUGAAGCCACGCGGCUUUCUCCCAGCAUCACCAGCAUGGCACACGUUUGUCACCAUGAACUGGUUUCAUAACUAUUCUCUCUUAAAUCCAGUGUUUUAUGUCAUCCUAGGAACCUCCCUGACCAUUCACUGUGCAGCUAAACUCAUGGAAAAGCCAUUUGGCAUCAGAACCCAGACCCAUUUCUAAGCCUUUCCUGCUGUUGUUCUUGGGCCUAGUUCCUUUCCUUCUUCCAUCUCCUGUCUCUGCACUGACACAACACUCAUCUUUGCAGAUGCUUGGAGGAGGUUCCUAGAGCACAGUGUGCAGAUUCCUCUCCAUCCCUUGGUCACACCCAGCUUGGGGCAGCCAGCAGCUGCUGGGUGCAGUUCAUCCAGGGCUGGGAUCCUGGCUUUGGGUGUACAGUGGUGACUCAGCUGUGUCGUGUCUGGGUGGGUUUUUCUAGGAACAAGAUCAUGCAGAGCUGUGAAACAUUUUUGUUUCUCUACAAACUGACCCUUUCUACUACAAAUGUGUUUAUCCUACACUUAGGAAAAAAACUGCUCUCUUUCAGACUGAUGUUUUCUGGCUCUGUCCUGCAUGGGGAAGAUGCAUCGUGGUAUGAGCAGUUCCAGCCUGAGCAAUCUAAUCUGACAAAAGUGCAACCACAAGCAGGGUCUCAAAUGGAGCUGAGCAGUCUUGGCAAUAUCCAGUCAUGCUAGUGUUCUCCGUAUUACCAAGGUGUGUGGCCUAUACAAGCUAAGCUGACUGGCUCCAGAGUCAGUCCAGGCAGUAUUUGGGCUAAAGUUGUACAGAAAAGAAGAGACUCUGGGAUCCGUUGUCUUCUGCUGUAUAAAGCACAUUUGCUCCCUUUUCAUAGAUGCCACAUUUCAUAGGCAGCAGCGAGUCCCUUAUACAGUUCAGAGGGACAGGGAACAAUCUACCUUGAGCCAUUUUACCGUAAAGAACAAGCUGGGAAAACUUCCCUCCUCCAUCACAACUAUGCCAAGCACCAUUACAAAUUGCUAUUCUACGGGCCGUGGCUGUUACAGCUUCCUGAACUUGUACCAUCAUCCCAGGAGGGAUGAUUCAGUUGGGAGGAACUAGCCCUGUUUGUCCUCUCUGCGAAGAAGUACCUCUCCAUUUCACAUCUUGGAGGGCUUCCCAGGAGCUCAGUGCCAGGGAACAUUUCUCACCAUGUUAAAGAUCUAAUUAAAUGGACUGACAGCGUUUGCUUUGUAAACAAGUCCUCUCUGUGAUACAACAGAGGCAGUUUGCUAAACUCACGUGAUGGGAGGGUAAUCCUUUAGCAUGUUCUCUGCAAGACAUUGAACCUGCUGUACAUGUGCUAGAAUCUGCAUCUUUAUGAUAUUUCUCCCUAGGCUAUUUAGGACCAGUCUCUGUGCUACAGUGAGGCUCCUGGUGUUCAGUACGGAACAGCAGCAGAACCAGGCACUGAAAGGAACGGGUCCCUGCCAGCCGCCUGGCGUCUGCCUGCUCCCUGAAUAUGAAUAUGGGACACUACUGCCAGGGCCCAGACAGCACUCUCCCUGCCUCCCCUCCCAGGGGCUUGGAUACUUGUGCUGGAGGCACAGCUGUGUCAUCUUCAAUUAGACUGCUAUCAAAAGCGUGGGGUGGGAGAUGCCUCUCCCUUUCCCUCAGGAGCUGCAUUUAAGUCCAGGCCCAGGCCCUUGCUGCUCACCUUAGCUACCUUUUAUCUGUCUGUGCCUUGACCCCAGUGCUGUUUUGUCUUAGUGACUCGCUCUUGCCUUGUGAUGGACUUGCCUGGUGAUCUGUGCUCUUGGCUGACCCUGGCCAUCAUCACUGGAUGCCCUGCUUUUCCUGCUUGUCCCCCUUGCCCAUGAGCUGUCCCUGCCUGCCCUGCUGUCACCCUCAGUCCUUGGCCCGCCUUUUCCUGUGGAGCAGCCUGCUCCUGCUGCUUCCUGACAGUGGCUCCAUGUCACAUCCACAGGCAGCACUUGCUCUGCCUGGUGUCUCUUGGGAGAGAAUGAAAUUUUAAUGCCAUACGCGAGGUUUGGAAUGACAGGUGUUGAAAGGGAACAAGGGCCUGCCUCGAAUGACUCGAGGAAAGACAGUGGGGCAGGCAGAAAUUUGUACACUCUUUUUCUGAGGUGGGCAGUUGAGAGGCCCGAGGAGGGAAACAGAGGAGACAAGAAAUAGCAAAAACAGGCUACUCAAGGGGGUGGUGGAGUCACCAUCCCUGGCGGUGCUCAGGAACAGUGUGGAUGUGGCACUGAGGGACAUGGUUAGUGGGCACGGUGGGGAUGGGCUGAUGGUUGGGCUGGUUGAUCUUAGAGGUCUUUUCCAACCUUGAUGAUUCCAUGAAAACUAAAGCAGAUGGAGGUGAAUGAGCAAAUAUAAUAAAAUUCAUUCAUGUGGUUUAAUAGUAUCGUCAACCAAAAAAUAAACGCACAUGAAAUAUUUAAAUGUUUGGUUGGAAUUUAGAUUUCACGACCUCUGAUCUGGCAUAGUGCCUUUUUGCACCAUGUGAGGAAAACUGUUGGUUUCUGUAAAAUUCAUACGUAACCAAUUUGGAUCCUCAAAAAACAACGUGUUCCUUCCUCCAGAGCAGGAGGGUGGUCUCCCUGCUGGCACAAACAGGGCCCAUGUACACAGGGACUAUCCAGUGUCACCUCAGCUGCUCCAGCCCGAGGGCAUCAGGGCCACAGAUUGUCUCAGUUUCAAGAAGCUGCCUUGAUUUAUGUGCCUUAUGUCACCUAGUUCUCAGUGUAUCGUAAAAAACCCAUCCAACAUGAAAAUCGCUGAGUUCCCACUCUCUAACUGGACUGUCUGGUGGUGAGCCUCUCUGCCAGCUGCUCCUAUUCAUCACUCACUGGCCAUUCCCGUCACCCAGGCCGCAGGUGCAAAGCCCUCUGCAAUCUCCUGACCUUUCUCCCACGCAUACAUCACCGCCUUCCCUGCUGCUCACUGCCAGGUCUGUCUCUCCAACUAGGGGCAGGAGCUGAUGGCCCUCACCCUCAGCCUUGUUUUCCAGUGAACCUAACCCUCCUCUAAGGACCCUUCAAGCAGCAGUCUAAGCUGACACUAGUUGGUUUCUUAUUUUUCACAUCCAGCUACUGUGCUGGCUGGCAUUUUCCUAGUGCCUUGACUAGGUGAUUAGAUACGAGGUCUUCUCAUUAACACAUCUCUAGUAAGUGGAAAAAGGCCAAAGGCCAGGAAAGAUCCUCUGCUGUGUAGAUUUGGCACAGGCUUGCACUGGAACACCAUCUUAAUGCUGGUUGUGCUGCCUUGCUUUUCAGCUAUGGUGACUCAGUCUCUAAGAAAAGCUACUGCUACAAAUCUCAUGGGAGCUCCAUUUCUGACUCCUCGGGAUCUCUGGCAGGAUCUUUCUCUUGUUCCCUUAAUUUUGUUACCAUGCAAGUGUAUGGGAGAGGGACAGAUCAGAGCUGCCUAGUCCCAUCUUCCUUGACAGUGGAAAGUUGCAGCAACUUUUCUGGUAUGGCAAAAAGCGUGUCACUGCCUAGCUCCUCGUUGCUUAGGAAGAGCAGAGGACCUAAACAGAGGCAUACAGUUCUCAAAACUGAGCACUGAGCAUUAUUGUUGAAUAGAAGUGCAGAAGCUAACAGGGCUAACACAGUUCAGUGGAUACUUAGCAGUGCUAGCUUGAUUUGAAGUGUUAGCUUCGAUUUCCAUCUGAAACUGAGCAUGGGAGGAGGUGGAACUCGGUUCUAGAGGGAGCAGCUCACAGCAGUGGAAAGCAGGUCAUAUUACUAAAUCCUGAGCCAAUCUGGAUUGCUGAGACAGGAGCUAGUGGGUAUGGGUGUCCAGGUCCUUGGCUCACUCCCACCACUGGAGGCUUAGCUGCUGAAACACAGCAGUGUGAGCAUCCAAGGGACUGAGAAGUGGUCCUGAGAAUUCCUGCAGUGAAACACCCCUUGGAGGUACCUGCAAAAAACAGGAUACCACUUAGAAGCUAAGUGGGGAGGAAGAAUUGCUCUGUUGAUGAGGCAGGAUGGGGACAGACCAGCUCCUGCAAGGUUUCAAGAUGGGCUAGCUCCUACACAGGUUUAAGUAGCGGCACUGAUGAGAUGAUAACAGAUGCUUUUUCAAGCCCACACAGAAAGAAAUUUAGCAGCUCUGGUGUCUCAGUUGCCCAGAUCGGAGCCCUGGUCCUGAUAGUUCAUGGUCUGUGUGUCGGAAUUUCCGUGGAAGGCAGAAAGUGAGUGACAGGCAGCAGUAUGCAUGUAGGUUGCACAUGUGAUACGUGUGAUUUGUCCAAAUCACAAAGACAAAUAAAGGCAGUGAAGCUAACUAAGGCUAAUGAGGGAGAUCUGCAAGGCAAUGGCUGUGUGAAUCAUCGUGAUCAUUUCUGCCAGCAUCCUGAGAGACCCUGGGAUAAAGGGAAGAGCUGGAAAAGGGAGCUGAACACUAUCCUUCCUAAAGUGAGCCGGCCUUGAAAAUGAUGUCUGCUUUUCUGCUUGGUAAGCAAAGGUCCCUGACCUCCAGUUCCCAUUACUCUUUCUUCUUUACUAUCUCUGAUUAUCUAUGUGAGAACAUCAAUUUCCCCAUACAAUUGUUCCCAGACCUUAAGAACAAGCAGAAAGUUUAGAGGCAUGGUUGUGAAUUCCAACCCAGUCCAUCCUGAGCAUUCAUACUGUCCCGCUGCCUUCCCUCACACAAUUCUAACCUGCAAAUGCUCCUGCAAAUGCACCUGCUACAGCCAUCCUCCAGGCAGCAAGCUGAAAAGAGUCCAAAGAGCCACUAAAGAGAAACAAAACCUGUAUCAGAGCUUAGCAUGAGUACUCAUGCCAAAUACUUGGAACACAGGAAACAGUACAUGAGGCUGUGCAGAAGUUAUUGCUCCUGCUUUCCUGAGCAUUAGGAAUUCACAGCCUAUAUGGUUUGUGGUGAGGCAUGUGCUUAACACAGCUGAUAUAAGCUCCAAACAGUGCGACUAUAGACAACUCUGUUUUAAACAAGGCAAAUUAAAUAAGUCAUUAAGUGACCUGGAAAGGAACUACCAGAGCUGGUCAGAGGAAAUUUGUUUCACUACGUAGAGAGGUACUGCUUUCAGAGCCUUUUGCCAUAACAUAACUCCAGCAAUAGAAGUGCUUCAAACGUUUUACUUCUGUAGGAAUUCUUUGUGGGAUUGUGUAGAUAGAUACACAUCUGUGCCAAUCAGCCCCUCGUUCUUCAGCUACAGCAAAAUGGUAUUGUUUCUGAAUGACACCACGUCAGACUUCCAUGUCAUUAUUUCUAGUUAUUUGGCGUGUGAUGAGAGCUGUGCAAUUUAAGUUACAAGUGUCAAACUCAAGUUCAUCCAAAGGUUAAAUCUACUAUGAAGCUGGGUGGCAGGUCUCUGCCUUUAUCCACAUUUAGCACACACAAGACAUUAAUUCCCUUGACGGACAAGGAACUCCUAGGCUGUUCUGCACAGAUGAGGCAAUGGACUGAAAUGAGACAGUGAGACAUGAUGUCAACUCGUGAGCUAUCAGUGUGCCCUUAUGGACAAGAAGGCCAGUGGUAUCCUGGGGUGCAUGAAAAGAGUGUGGCCAGCAGGUCAAGGGAGGUAAUCCACUCCCUCAACUGUGUCUUUCUGAGGCCACAUCUGGAGUACCAUGCCCAGUUCUGGGCUCCCCACUUCAAGGCAGGGAACUUCAAGACUGAGGCCAGCAGAGGGCCACAAGGACGAUGAGGGACCUGGAACUUCUUUAUGAGGAAAGGCAGAGAGAGGUGAGACUGUUCAGUGUGGAGAGGACUGAGAGGGGAUCUUACCAAUGCUUUUCAAAACCCUAAGAGAGGAUAUCAAGAGGAUGGGGCUACGAUCCUUUCAGUGGUGCCCUUUGAAGUCCUUGGAAGGACUCCAACCUCCACCCUGACAGCAAUCAACUGUCCUAUGCAAGCAAGUUCAGAUCCAUACUAUUAAAUAAAAUUUAUCCUCUUUUCUUGUUUCCUUCAGCAAAGCUUCAAGACCUUGAAUCAUUCUCACAGUUCUUUUCUAAAUAUAUUUCUACAUACUUCUGUGGGCACAUCUGGUGACCUCCCUUUUGGAAAACACAUUCCUGUCACUGAUCUGUUUAGCCCCAGUCCUAGGCAUUUGUACUUCCCUGGCUCAGCUCAAUCUUAUGCUGUUAAUGUGUCAAAAUCUCCCUUCAAAGAAUACAAUCCCAAGACAAAGUCCAGUGGGUGGGGGUUAACAGCAAUAGAAAGGAAGUGGUGGAAAGGAAAAUUGAGACUCAGGGUUAGGACUUCUGGUUCUUUGCCCAACUCUGGGAAUGUAGUCACAUAUCUGCCAGUUAAGGAGAUCUGAAGUCAGAAUUACUGAAUAUUGUUCCCUGGUCCCAUCUUCUGGGUGACCUAAUUUACAGUUCAGUGUCCAAACUUCUCAUCGGUGAGAUUUCACCCACUGAACCAAGCCAGUUUUGGUGGUGGGUGGCCAGUUAUGCAGAGGCUGUAGAAUGUGACAGUGACAUCCAUUUACCCUGCUGCAGCAACAAUACUUUCCCUUUUGAUGUCUCAACAUUUCUAUGACCACCUGGCAGCCCCCACAUACCACGUGCCAUAAACCCAGUGAUGGAAGGAAAGAAAAGGACAGGGGCAUCCUGUUACAGCCCAGUCUCUGCCAGCCCUAUCCAAUUCCUGACAUGCCGUUGUGCAGCCAAAGACUAGUGGGAGGACUGCAGGCUGCUCAGGGGCUGGUCCGAAUUGUUGCCUAUCACAGCUCGCCUUAAUCCCAGAUUUCCAUUAUGAAGCAGUCCAAAGGAUGCCAACCAGUUCAGCGGUUCCUGGAGGUAGCCAAGCAACAGUAAACUCAAACAGAGAUUGGCAAUGGCUACCUUCAAAGCCAUGCAGAAAGUUGCCAGGAGCCCCAGCAUCCCCUUGCCUUAAACUCUUCCAGCACUGGGAAUAGAAGGUGCCCAUCCUACCCAAACAGCAGCUGCUCCUCAGGCAAGUGUGCUCAUAUGUUUCCAGCUGAGUGAUGAGCAGUCCUAGUGGGAUAAAGGUGCUGCAGUCUUCUCUGAUGUGCUAUGAGCAGUGUGAGUACGAAGGAGGACAAGCCUGAGGACAUAAGUUUCCAAAGUCCAGAGACUGAGCAACAUGAGCAGAUGGUGAACUUCCAUGCCUUUGGACUAGUCAAUAUGGACUGAACACAGCAAUUUUGCACUGUACAGCUGAUUUAUGCAAUAGAUCCAACCGUAGGACAACACAAGACUGUCCUAGCCCAAGGCUCACAGUAGCACUGUAUUUCUGUGCAAUGAUCCACACGGAUCAUGGAGGCAUGAAAGCUGCCGCUGUGCUAUGCUCAAGGAACCAUCUGCGUGGUGAGAAUAGCUCCAUGCAUGUGGGGCCUGGAUGGCAUUGCAGUGCUCAUGCUGCUGUGGACUAACAUUCUUUACACUGAAGACACUUAUCAACGACUUCUUCUCUCCUUCAUGUCCUGAGGAGCUUUCAGAGAUCUUCCUUGUGCGCUGUUGUUUCUUGUCUUUCCCUUUCUUGGUCUCUGCUUCACCUGUCUGCCUCUUCAGUCCUGUCCCUGCAUCUCUUGUCCACAACCAUGAGCCUCGGAGCAUUGACCUGCAGCAGCACAUCAUAACGGUGCAGGCUGUUAAAUAUAUUCCUACCAAUAAGGCUGAGAAGCCAUGAAUUUUUCAGUAGAUUCUGAGAGGGGUGCAAGCAAAGAAGCUCUGCAGAAGAAAUUGCCAGGAUUUAAGCCUGCCCAGCAUGCUCCUGGGAAUGCUGGUUAUGUUAGCCCUGUGUUCAGCAAUCUCUUCAAAAUUCACUGCCCUUAAUAAGAUGAAACAGCUUCCCAAGAGAGUGUCAAUAGCAACAACUGUCAGCAGAAGGACAAGGGGAUGUGAAAGCUGUCACUGUUUCCUACUUGGCUUUGGAGAAAGCAGAUUCAGCAGAGCCAAGCAAUGUCAGCACAUGGCUGUCCUUGCUGUGCCUCCAUCUCCCACUCCAUCAGUGGAAGAGAAGACAAUCAGCUGAGGCAGGGAAAGAGCAUGGCUGGGAACAAGGAUAGGGGGCUGAGAGCUGCCAGUCCAAGGGACUAUUUGCAGCCAUAACCAGUGACCAGUAACCAGUAGCUGUACAUCAGGGUUAAACUGAAAAACAGACUGUAUUAAUCCCUUUCAGUAAAUUUUGUCAGGAAAACUCUAGCAAAGGUUGACCUUGGUCAGAGUUAACACCCAAAAGGUACUACCAGGGCCCCACGUGAGAACCGGAUUAUUGUGCUAUUCCAUCCUGGAGUACAGGGGUCAGCCAGAGACACAGCUCCUUGGUGGGGGGCAGCUUGUAAACAGCAAAGAGGGGUUAGAAGUGCAAUUACUCUGUGUGACAACUGUGACCACCUUCUGUCACCACCCUAGGCUCAGCCAAAUCCCCCUCCCUCCCUCUCUUGCACAAAGCUGAGCCAAGGGAUAGGGCUUACACACAUGACCGACUGCCUGUCAGCCCCAGGGAAAAACAGAAACACAGCCACAGCAACGGACAGGCCUGUAUAUGGGCAGGCCUGUAUAUGGGCAGGCCCAGACUAUUGGUUGGCAAAGCUUGGCUGGGCUGUGAGCAGGGAAAUCUAGGACUCUGAGAACGGUUAUGGGAUUUAGUAGUAGUCAGUUCUCAUCUUGUGGUCAACACUGACAAUGACAGCCCAUCAGAGCACAAGGAGACCUAAUGUUAUACUAUGGGCAGCAAGGUACAGUGCAACCCAAGGUAUGGGAUGAGGGAAAUAUGGAACCUGUUCCUUUGAUCUCUCUGCCUAUGCCAUUUUUCUCUUGUUCACACAUCUCUGCUCAAGGAUAUAAGAUUCAGUAAGAAAAAAAUUUAAUAAAAGAAUUAUGGCUGACACUCCAUGAGCCAUCUCAUAUUUUCCAGUCAGGGAACAGCUCUAGAAACUCUAGAAGAAAGCAACUGGGCUGCAGUUGUGGCCAGCCUGCCCCUGUGUCAGUAAGGAUGAAAGGUAACAAAUCCUCACCAUCUCUAUCCUCCAGUUAUUGUCUCUUUCCACUCCUGUGCUCAGAAGGACACUUGCUCAGAACAGAGUCUUAAUUUUUUCUGUUUGAUUGAUUGUGUUUAUCAAAGCUCUGGCCUGUUUUGCCUUUGAGGUGAAUGUCAAAAGUCAAGAAAAAGCAAUGAAGGAGGAGGCAGCAAUGGGCAAUAUGUAGUCUCGUAUUUGCCCUGUUAUAUUUCCUGGCUUGCUAUGCUUUCCUGCAAUAAUUUUUGGGCUCUGUUGCUUAUUUCUUUGACACUCUCAACACCUGUUAUCACAGGAGGGUCAGGUAGGAGCCUUGUUCAGAAGACAAUACUACAAGAGAAGUCUGAGGAAUACAGAGGAUUUGUCUUUCUCUAACUUUCCUGAGAAACUUAAGGCACAGUCUUCGCAAUGAUUCAAGUGGGAAGAGAUGGAACUAACAGAGUGUCAGACUUGACGUGGAAGAUGGUAGAAGGAAGAUUAUAUGCUGCAAGCUUCUAGGAAUGAGCACAGAAGCUUAAGUGGAGAGAUCCUGAAAGCUGGACCUGUGUUCUGCCUAUUGUCACGGGGUCAGUCAGCCUAAUAGCAUGACUUUCCUCAGUUUUCCUGUAGAAGGGAGAGAUGGCACUGACCACAACAUCCAACUGUACCGACCACAUGUUCUCUAGAGAGCCAUAGGAUGCAUGCACUAGGACAUCAGGGGCUGUGUUCACACCUCUUGUUCUGCAGUUGUUGCAUUCAGAAUUCACACAGUGCAGUGAGCUCUGUAACUGACCAAUUUACCUCUUCAUUCCAUCUCAGAGAGGAGUGAAGUACCACAUCUUUCCUUCCCCUUUGCAGUCACCUGAUGCCUCUUGGGGGACGACACCAGAUCUGCCCCAUACCUUGUGCCUACAUUAACUGAAGUCUUGCCCUUUUACU